GAGAGAGGUGGGCACAGUGCCUAAAUUUAAUCUUUCAUGCAUACUCGAAGACUAUGAAGGAAAAAAAGGAACCUAAGGUAGCUUUCCUUCCUUUGUUGCUCCAGGAAACAACAUGAAAUCUCUCACGAUGGGCCACCCAUCAUACUGAAGUAAUAUACACAACUUGUUAAUCAAUUGGGAAUAUUACUUAGCCAGGUUUCCAGUUUUCUUUGAUAAAUUGGAGAUUUAACAACGCAGGAUUCUCUUCCUUGUGCGGAAACAUAAACUUGCCUACAUUAUUUACAUAUUUUCGUGCAUCGACGUGGACCUCAUUUAUAAUUUUCUUACAAAACAUCUUUUUAAAAGAACAGUACAGAGCCAAACAUCUUCCUGCGAUCCUACAGGGCAUUAUAUGGUCUCAGGUACUGGCUGCUGGUUUAUUAAAGGGUAGGAUUUCCAUUUACUCCAGGCAGGCUUAAUGUAUUGUUCUCAGAGUGAGACAGUCAGAAUGAGUCAGGAGCCAAAGAAUACACUUUAUAGACACAAAUAAUCGUAAAUUCAGAAUGUCACCUUUAGGCAGAGGCAUUUUUAUUAUUGUUAGUGGAGCUGCUGAGUAGGUUUGAUGUUUUAUUCUCUUGAGGACUCAAUGUUCCCAAGUCCUGGAGCCCUGUCUUUAUCAGGCUCACAAGGAGGGAGCCCAGCCAAACUUGCUUCCUAUACUUCUCUAUGAUUGAUAGCAGAUGGCAUGCUUUAAAAUAAACCUAUCCAUUAGCAGUCCUCAGUGUUUUUACUCAAGGCAUUUACAACUGUCUCAAGCAGAAAACACAUUCACUCCAUGAACUAGUUUCAGUCCAGAACAGCUGUACAGGUGCAAAUCUCUCAUUAACUCUUAAAGAGUGGUGAAAUAAACAAUGGCUUUUCUCUUACUUUAUCCAAGGCAGUACUUCAAAGCUGUUGUGUAAUUACUCUCCUCUACAAAAAAGGAGUUUUAUUAAGACUGAACUGUAUUAGAUAUGUACAUGCUUACCCUAGGAAUGUAUGUACCUGUGGGUGUUACAGUUUAAAGUGUCUGUCUAUGUACAUAGAAUUAGUGGUAAAUCACCAGUCUCUCAGGAGUGUUUCGAGAAGAGAGAAAGACAGAAAAACUUAGCCAGGCACCAUGGCAGCUCUCAAGUGCCUGGUUCUAUGCACCUGUAGUCAACAUGUCAUAAGAAAUAAUACUGGUGCUGAGCUGGUAUUGUGCUGAGCUGAUGAUGGUUGAUUUUAAGCAGCCAAUUGAAUUCCUUGCAUACUAGUAGUUAAACAAAGGCAAUCAUUUUUAAAGUGAAUUUUUGUCUGUAUUAAACAAGGAUAAGAGGGUUGGCCUAAGAAUUUUGAUUUGUAAGUGGGGAUAAAGGUGAGAGUUGUAGUUUAAAAUAAUAUUGUCAUUAAAACAAACAUACGUUAUCAGAACUUAAUGUAUAUCAAGUAUUAUUCUAGAAAUUUAUAAAAGUUAUUUAAUCUUUCCAGCUCUUGAAAACACUAUAAAUGACUCUAAGUUUAUGGAUAGGGAAACCAUUAUGCUUUGUUAUCUUUGUUCUAAUAAAAAAAAUGAAAACAACUCCAACAUGGAGUUAUUGAGAGCAAGGACGGAGAUUCAGUCUUGCAUCAGGGCUUUGUAUUUGUAUGUCCAUGUGCAUGAUAUUUGAUGACCCUUGUUAUACUUUUCUCAUUUCAUUUUUUAUAACCCUACUUUGGAUUAAUGUUGUUAAUACUCAAUAUGGCUGCUGUGAUAAUUGGAGAAAUUAAAGUAUGUAUCAAGCUUACAAGAAUAUCUGGUACUUAGAAAGUCCAUACAAGUUCUAACUAUGAUGCUAUCAUCAUCAUCAUUAGUAAAGGAAUUCAACUGUCACUGAACGCGAUUUAAAUUAGUCUUCUCUGUUUAUCUUUUAUGUCUGAAACUGUAUGGUUUGAAAAAUUUAAAUGUUCAACAAAAUACUUUAUUUUUAUUUCACAUUUUAUUAAUUAUAUUCAUAUAGUUGCCAAUCAAAGACUCUGACCAGCAUAGAAAAUAGGAGUUUUUAUGUGAACUUGAUAAGAUUUUGCCCCAAAGCCAGGUAAUUUGACACUGUAGCUUCAGCAGCAUUAUUAUGGGUAAUUGUUAUUCCCUUGGUCUUUCUGAAAUAACGAAACUGGUUAAUGGAUCUCCUCAUUACAACCUUCCAUGGGUCUCCUGGGCCCAUGCUGCCAUGAUAGGUGAACCUCAGCCAAAAUAUCUCUUCAGUGGGGCAGCUGGAAAGGCAAAGCAGUAAAAGUCAUAAAAUAUGCCCCAUGCAGUUUUCCAAAUGAUAUCUGUGUUGAAGGAGUUUAAGAAGUCUUACAUAACAGAGGUAUGCCACUGAUUUCUCAAGGAACAGCAUAGAUGGUUCUGAAAAGCAGAGUGUGAAAGUACAUACCCAGAACUUCCAUUAUGAUCCAUUUUCAUGAUCUUCACCAUGAAAAGACUUCCUAGAAACAAUCAUUUUCUUGUCUUUAUAAGUAUACUCAAGUAAAUUUUGAAUAGAUUUACCUGAAUACAAGGUGGAAAAUGUAAUUAAAUGAUAAGGAUAAAUUUAAGCAAAGCAAAUAUUUCAAACUGAAAUAUUUUAUAUUGAUACAGACAUGAGAUGUUGGUAUUAUUAGUUCUAUUUGCAGGAACUCCUUGUUUAUCACAAUCAUUUCAUUUGAAUUUCUGGAAGGUAGUCUUAUAACGAGUGUGGUUAUAGAAGGUAUAUCCUGAGCCAAUGGAUAUUUCAUACUUCCACCAUAAGCUUCCAAGGAGCAUGACUGGUAAUUUGAGAUUACUCAUGGGCAUUUUCCUUUGCAGUUUUAGAGGAAGUUGGUACUUUAAUGGCUUCGAUACACUUCACCACAAGUUUUAGUAUUACACUGAAUGAAAUUAAACUGGUUCAAUUUGUAAACUCUAUAAAUAGAAAGAAUGAAACCUAAAAGAAGGAUUUGCAAGAAAAGUACACUUGUAAGUGUCAAUGCCCUAGAGGGAAAAAACCCUAAAUUUUAGCAUGAGAUUAUUGUUUUUUUUUUCAGAAAGAUAAGAAAAAUUUAAAAAAAAAUUACAAAUAUAUUUAAGCAUCAAGAUUCUUCAGGUAGAAAGCUGAUUUAUCCCAUCUAAGAUAGUGUUACCGUUGAUGUGAACUGUGAGCUUCUGAGAUCUGUUAGCUACACAAUCUAUUUUAAUUUAUAAAUUCCCAUAUAAUCAGCAUUUGAAAUGCAAUGAUAAAAAGAAUGAGAAACUGAAUGCCAACAUACCUGCAAGAUACAACAGGAAACAAUUCAAUAUUUGCCUACCUUUUGGCACUGUAUUUUAUCUCUUUAAUCUGACAUAUAAUGUACAUUAAUCAGGCUCCAGUUUCCUAAUGCAAACCCAGAGUGUUGGAAAGCAUCAGAAAAUCAAGAAAGUAGUAACGAAAGGGCUCCUCCUCUGGCCAUCAGUUGAUCACAGAGUCUUCCCACUGAGCCAGGGUGAAGCUUCUGAAUGCCCAAUGCAGUGAAGUAGCCUCUUUUCUAUGGUAUUCAUUCCUCCAAGGGAAUUUAAAUUGGGACUUGACUAGUCCUGUUAGACCCUAAAUAGUCUCUAAAACCCAACUGUCCUGGAUCUGUAAUGCUUCUCACUUCACGACUGUGUCUGUGUUCACUAGGCAGAUGUGAUAUAUAGAAAACUAAAGAAUUUAUUUUUAUAAGCAUGUGAUAAAUGGUGGUGUGUUUGUAGUGCCCCUAAUCACUGUUCAUUUGAGAAUGCUUGCUAGUAGGCAAAUGUCAUGCUUCCAUACUUGUUCAUUUAUUUACUGUUAUGGUUUUAAAGCUGCUGGACCCACUGUUUUCUUUUGGUUAAUCACUUGGCUCCUUAGCCAAUGUAACCUUAAAAUACUUUCUUCUAGUUUACACCAACUCCAAAAAUUUUAUUGCCAAUGUUCUCUUCCAUAGCUAUU
Cavia porcellus (domestic guinea pig) is the source of this 3944-nucleotide long non-coding RNA. RefSeq lists it as uncharacterized. The transcript has 3 exons. Lineage: Eukaryota; Metazoa; Chordata; Mammalia; Rodentia; Caviidae. The record is from RefSeq and is a predicted model, not a curated record.